GACGAACGCUUGCGGCGUGCUUAACACAUUCAAGUCGAACGGACAGGCCCUGCUUUUGUUGGUUGCUCGAUUGGCGAACGCGUGAGUAUCACGUGUGUAACCUCCCCUUGUCUUUGUGAUAACUUCUCUAUACUCGGGCUAAUACCGGUUAUGAUCUCCUGCUUCAUGGUGGUGGUUGGACAGUUUCGGCUUUUGUGGCUAGGCUCGCUGCUUAUCAGCUUUUUGGUGAGGUAGUGGCUUACCAUGGCUUUGACGGUUAGCCGGCAUGGGAGGGUGGACGGGCACAAGGGGACUACGAUACGGCCCAGACUCCAACGGGAGGCAGCAGGGGGGAAUAUUGCAGAAUGGGCGGAAGCCUGAUGCAGAAACGCCGCGUGCGGGAUGAAGGACUUCGGGUGGUAAACAGAUUUCGACGGUGACGAAGAGUGAGUGACGGUAAUGGGUAAAGAAGCAACGGCUAACUACGUG
Molecule: ribosomal RNA, 468 nt
Filed under: uncultured bacterium
Lineage: Bacteria
Description: partial 16S ribosomal RNA
Rfam family: Bacterial small subunit ribosomal RNA
Source: RNAcentral